This is a long non-coding RNA of Aedes aegypti (yellow fever mosquito), 853 nucleotides long. RefSeq lists it as uncharacterized. NCBI's taxonomy places the organism in Eukaryota, Metazoa, Arthropoda, Insecta, Diptera, Culicidae. The transcript has 2 exons. The record is from RefSeq and is a predicted model, not a curated record.
GUCAAAUUUUGCGUUACGUAAUAUUUGAAUAACCCCUUACGUUGUAUAUUGAUUCCGUCGAAAUGUUGCCGAAAAUAGAUUAUUUUUCGGUCUGUGGAUCUUGCAAAGCUGUGUAUAUGUUUUUUGAGAGUGCAUUUUUUGUUGUUGUUUUGCAAAGAUCAAACUAGAGUGAAAAAAAACUAAAAGUCGGUGCAGGAAUGCAUAUCGGAAAAGGGUUCCACAGUUCCGCGAAGAUUGUCCGUAUUUCCGGUGGUUUGGAACCUGUUAUCAUCGAAGUAAUAAACCUCCUUGUUCCCCCGGUGACUGCUCAAACCAACUGUAAACGAUGCUGCUGUUAUUCGUCGUCCAUCUACGAACGUUGUCCACCCACUAGAAUCUACACCUGUUAUGCGACGAUUGGAUGUCUCCAUGAUUUAUCGGACAGAAACUGGAUGGUCUUCUCUUCGCGUCGCUUUCCUUGUACUCGCGAUACCAACUACUAGCAGGCAUCCGAAGAAAAUCAAACAAUGCAGGUGCUGAUGGUGAUAAAUUCAUGGAUAUACUAGUCUAAAACAUGAAACGGAUGAUGAUGCAGAGCAUAUGGGAAACGAAAGCUUUUCGAAGAUCAAUAGUGAUUCAAAAUAGUUAAGGAAGUUAAAUUGUUGAAUAAUAAGAAUGAUAUUGCUUAUUGAUUCUUUAUUUAUUUUCUAGAAAAAAAACAACAACAAUGAAACAAGUAGUGUGGUAGAUCUAAUUUUAUUUCAAACAGAAACAGCUACAACAUAAUUUAAAAAAUCAUGAUUAUUUACUUGUUAGUGUUGUACAUGGUAAAAUUGACGUAAAAAUAGACAACGUACUAUUUGUUUCAUUUUUU